RNAcentral lists this transfer RNA (87 nucleotides) under Candidatus Yanofskybacteria bacterium CG10_big_fil_rev_8_21_14_0_10_36_16. RNAcentral describes it as "tRNA-Leu". It matches the Rfam family "tRNA". From Rfam's summary of the family: Transfer RNA (tRNA) molecules are approximately 80 nucleotides in length. Their secondary structure includes four short double-helical elements and three loops (D, anti-codon, and T loops). The record is from RNAcentral. Lineage: Bacteria; Candidatus Yanofskyibacteriota.
GCCGAGGUGGUGGAAUUGGCAGACACAACGGACUUAAAAUCCGUUGGGCGAAAGCCCAUGCGGGUUCGAGUCCCGCUCUCGGCACCA